Molecule: ribosomal RNA, 160 nt
Filed under: uncultured bacterium
Lineage: Bacteria
Description: partial 16S ribosomal RNA
Rfam family: Bacterial small subunit ribosomal RNA
Source: RNAcentral
CACGCCGCGUGCUGGAAGACGGCCCUAUGGGUUGUAAACAGCUUUUUACUGGGGGAAGAACCUGGACCUUUCGAGGACCACUGACGGUACCUAGUGAAUAAGCACCGGCUAACUCCGUGCCAGCCCCCCUCGGUGACUGAGCGGGCUGGCAAGGCGCAUA